Molecule: unclassified non-coding RNA, 331 nt
Filed under: soil metagenome
Description: partial contains 5.8S ribosomal RNA, internal transcribed spacer 2, and large subunit ribosomal RNA
Rfam family: 5.8S ribosomal RNA (bases 1-120)
Source: RNAcentral
GAUGAAGAACGUAGCAAAAUGCGAUACUUGGUGUGAAUUGCAGAAUUCAGUGAAUCAUCGAAUCUUUGAACGCACAUUGCGCCCCCUGGUAUUCCGGGGGGCAUGCCUGUUCGAGCGUCAUUUCACCACUCAAGCCUCGCUUGGUAUUGGGCAACGCGGUCCGCCGCGUGCCUCAAAUCGACCGGCUGGGUCUUCUGUCCCCUAAGCGUUGUGGAAACUAUUCGCUAAAGGGUGUUCGGGAGGCUACGCCGUAAAACAACCCCAUUUCUAAGGUUGACCUCGGAUCAGGUAGGGAUACCCGCUGAACUUAAGCAUAUCAAUAAGCGGAGGA